RNAcentral lists this transfer RNA (76 nucleotides) under Planctomycetota bacterium. Its description in RNAcentral is "Planctomycetes bacterium (soil metagenome) tRNA-Met". It matches the Rfam family "tRNA". From Rfam's summary of the family: Transfer RNA (tRNA) molecules are approximately 80 nucleotides in length. Their secondary structure includes four short double-helical elements and three loops (D, anti-codon, and T loops). Lineage: Bacteria; Pseudomonadati; Planctomycetota. The record is from RNAcentral.
GGCGCUGUAGCUCAGCGGUUAGAGCGGAGGCUUCAUAAGCCUUAGGUCCCCGGUUCGAUCCCGGGCAGCGCUACCA